GUACUCGCUUCAGCAGCACGUACACUAAAAAACUGGAACAAUACAGAGAUUAGCAUGGCCCCUGUGCAAGGAUGACACGCAAAUUUGUGAAGCGUUCCAUAAAAAA
Sapajus apella (tufted capuchin) is the source of this 106-nucleotide small nuclear RNA. The record is from RefSeq and is a predicted model, not a curated record. Lineage: Eukaryota; Metazoa; Chordata; Mammalia; Primates; Cebidae.